AUUGAACGCUGGCGGCAUGCUUUACACAUGCAAGUCGAACGGCAGCGCGGGCUUCGGCCUGGCGGCGAGUGGCGAACGGGUGAGUAAUGCAUCGGAACGUGCCCAGUAGUGGGGGAUAGCCCGGCGAAAGCCGGAUUAAUACCGCAUACGACCUGAGGGUGAAAGCGGGGGACCGAAAGGCCACGCGCCAUUGGAACGGCCGCUGUCGGAUUAGCUAGUUGGUGGGGUAAAGGCUUACCAAGGCGACGAUCCGUAGCUGGUCUGAGAGGACGACCAGCCACACUGGGACUGAGACACGGCCCAGACUCCUACGGGAGGCAGCAGUGGGGAAUUUUGGACAAUGGGGGCAACCCUGAUCCAGCCAUGCCGCGUGCGGGAAGAAGGCCUUCGGGUUGUAAACCGCUUUUGUUCGGGAAGAAAUCCUCUGGGCUAAUACCCCGGGGGGAUGACGGUACCGGAAGAAUAAGCACCGGCUAACUACGUG
This 484-nucleotide ribosomal RNA is filed under the name uncultured bacterium. RNAcentral's name for it is "partial 16S ribosomal RNA". It matches the Rfam family "Bacterial small subunit ribosomal RNA", at positions 29 to 507 of the family's 1533-position model. The record is from RNAcentral.